RNAcentral lists this ribosomal RNA (466 nucleotides) under uncultured bacterium. RNAcentral describes it as "partial 16S ribosomal RNA". It matches the Rfam family "Bacterial small subunit ribosomal RNA", at positions 28 to 507 of the family's 1533-position model. The record is from RNAcentral.
GAUGAACGCUGGCGGCGUGCUUAACACAUGCAAGUCGAACGAUGAAGCCCAGCUUGCCGGGUGGAUUAGUGGCGAACGGGUGAGUAACACGUGAGUAACCUGCCCUUAGCUCUGGGAUAAGCCUGGGAAACUGGGUCUAAUACCGGAUAGGAGCGUCCACCGCAUGGUGGGUGUUGGAAAGAUUUAUCGGUUUUGGAUGGACUCGCGGCCUAUCAGCUUGUUGGUGAGGUAAUGGCUCACCAAGGCGACGACGGGUAGCCGGCCUGAGAGGGUGACCGGCCACACUGGGACUGAGACACGGCCCAGACUCCUACGGGAGGCAGCAGUGGGGAAUAUUGCACAAUGGGCGCAAGCCUGAUGCAGCGACGCCGCGUGAGGGAUGACGGCCUUCGGGUUGUAAACCUCUUUCAGUAGGGAAGAAGCGAAAGUGACGGUACCUGCAGAAGAAGCACCGGCUAACUACGUG